This 460-nucleotide ribosomal RNA is filed under the name uncultured bacterium. RNAcentral's name for it is "partial 16S ribosomal RNA". It matches the Rfam family "Bacterial small subunit ribosomal RNA", at positions 338 to 795 of the family's 1533-position model. The record is from RNAcentral.
CCUACGGGGGGCAGCAGUGAGGAAUAUUGGUCAAUGGACGAGAGUCUGAACCAGCCAAGUAGCGUGAAGGAUGACUGCCCUAUGGGUUGUAAACUUCUUUUAUAUGGGAAUAAAACGUUCCACGUGUGGGAUUUUGUAUGUACCAUAUGAAUAAGGAUCGGCUAACUCCGUGCCAGCAGCCGCGGUAAUACGGAGGAUCCGAGCGUUAUCCGGAUUUAUUGGGUUUAAAGGGAGCGUAGGUGGAUUGUUAAGUCAGUUGUGAAAGUUUGCGACUCAACCGUAAAAUUGCAGUUGAAACUGGCAGUCUUGAGUACAGUAGAGGUGGGCGGAAUUCGUGGUGUAGCGGUGAAAUGCUUAGAUAUCACGAAGAACUCCGAUUGCGAAGGCAGUUCACUGGACUGCAACUGACACUGAGGCUCGAAAGUGUGGGUAUCAAACAGGAUUAGAUACCCUUGUAGUC